GAUCUAAGAAAUGAAAUAACAAUCAUCUUCUCUCUCUAAAUUCUAUUUCUCUCUCUUCCUCUCUCUCUAAAUUCUGUUCUCUUCUUCUUCUUAACUCUAUCAAUUUCUAUUUUUCAAAUCUAUUUCUGCAAUAAUAUAGCUACAGAACUAGUAACUAUACCAGUUUUUUAUGUGGAUUGUUUCAGAUCUAGUUUUUUUUUGUUAAUUUCUCAAUUCUCCUUCAAAACCCCAUAUUUAUCCUCUCUUUUUUUCGAUUUUUAUUUUCGAAUCCUUUUUUUGUAUCACUUUCUCAAAUGGCAAGUUCAAUUGCAGCUUGCUUGAUUAGGAUGUUCUACAGAGAUAGUGUUUUCCUUAUAGCUUAGAAAAUCUCGAGUUUCAAAAGGCAGUGAUUUUUCUAGGAAUAAUCGAAUGGGAUGAAAUAUUGUGGAAUUAUAACUUUGGCGAUUUGGAGAAUUGGAAAGACUGAUACCUACCCCAACCCUUUACAAGAUAAUCCUGCAUAUUCAGUUGUAAAGAUUCACCGAGAGGUAUUCAUUUCAGGCGUGCAGGACCAAGGCAGAAGGUGUACUUUGAUUCUGGUGCAGUUAAUGCGUACGAGCUCUGUAAAGCUUAAGUCUAAAUUAUCUUAACAACUAGCCUGUAAACCAACACAAGUUCCUCCUACGCUACAUUGCUCAGAAAUCCACGCUCACCCACUACUACUUAUCCAUGCAUUCGAGCUCUUGAUCUUGAUCAAAACACAAUAGUAGCAAUUCCAGUAGGUUUUGUCAGCGUUGCUAUUGGGAUUGGCAUUCCUGUCUUUUAUGAAACCCAAAUUAUAGCAGCUUUUGAUUUUUAUUUUUAUUGCAGAUAGUAGCAAUUCCAGUAGGUUUUGUCAGCGUUGCUAUUGGGAUUGGCAUUCCUGUCUUUUAUGAAACCCAAACUGACAGUGCUGUUGAAGUGAUAAGUUGCAUUAGACACCCAAACAUGGUUCUACUAUUAGGAGCUCGCCCAGAGUAUGGAUGUCUAGUUUAUGAGUACAUGCAUAAUGGUAGUCUUGAGGAUCGCUUAUUCUGUCGAGGAGGCAGUCCACCACUCUCUUGGCAACAUAGGUUCCGCAUUGCUGCAGAAAUCACGACAGACCUCUUAUUCCUCCACCAUACAAAGCCAGAGCCUUUGGUGCAUCGAGACUUAAAACCGGGUAACAUCCUUCUAGAUCGCAACUUAGUUGCCAAGAUUAGUGAUGUGGGCUUAGCUAGAUUAGUUCCCCCAUCAGUCGCUGAUGAGGUUACGCAAUAUAGGAUGACCUCUACAGCUGGUACUUUCUGCUACAUAGACCCUGAAUAUCAACAUAGACCCUAAAUUUAAGAUUGAAGUGCUGAACAUCUAAAAUUUUAAUUUAGGCUUGGUUUGGUUGGACGUUUUCCUUUCGUUUGGUUCCUCAGGUCUUUUUAUGAUUUGAUAAUUGAUACGACUUGUUAUAGUGAUAGAUUGGGGAAUAUGAAAUGGGGUAUGAUUUGAUAAUUUUAGUUAUUCAUUUAAUUCCUGUUAAUAAUUGUUUUUUUCUGGUUAAUUUCAUUAAUUUCUUUGUUUUUGUUGAUUUGCAGGGUUAUGAGAUUUGCGUUUGAGUUCCAGGUUUGAAGUUGGUUUCUAUCCAGAUACCAGAUCUAAAGUCCAUUUUGUUCCAGAUUUUUGUUGUGGAGUUUAAAGUGUACAUGUAAUUAUAUGAGAUUUGUAUUAGAUUUUGUUCUAAGUAUAUUAGAAUUUAGUUCUAGAAUUAGUUUUUCACUUGUAUCUACAUUUAUUAUCAAUAAUAAGUGAAUUGAUUAA
Molecule: long non-coding RNA, 1809 nt
Organism: Beta vulgaris subsp. vulgaris (sugar beet)
Lineage: Eukaryota; Viridiplantae; Streptophyta; Magnoliopsida; Caryophyllales; Amaranthaceae
Exons: 6
Source: RefSeq, a predicted model, not a curated record